UAUAUAAGUCAGUGGUGAAAUAUUCGGGCUCAACCCGGGAUACUGCCAUUGAUACUGUAUAGCUGGAAUAUGGUUGCUGUGGGUGGAAUGUGUGGUGUAGCGGUGAAAUGCAUAGAUAUCACACAGAAUAUCGAUUGCGAAGGCAACUCACAAAGCCAUUAUUGACGCUGAUGCACGAAAGUGUGGGGAUCAAACAGGAUUAGAUACCCUGGUAGUCCACACUGUAAACGAUGAUAACUAGCUGUCGGCGAUACACCGUCGGUGGCCAAGCGAAAGCGAUAAGUUAUCCACCUGGGGAGUACGACCGCAAGGUUGAAACUCAAAGGAAUUGACGGGGGCCCGCACAAGCGGAGGAACAUGUGGUUUAAUUCGAUGAUACGCGAGGAACCUUACCCGGGCUCGAACGGUGCAGUAAUAUGGUAGAGAUAUCAUAGCUAGCAAUAGACUGUAUCGAGGUGCUGCAUGGUUGUCGUCAGCUCGUGCCGUGAGGUGUCGGCUUAAGUGCCAUAACGAGCGCAACCCUUGUCGUUAGUUGCCAUCAAGUAAAGUUGGGGACUCUAGCGAGACUGCCACCGUAAGGUGUGAGGAAGGGGGGGAUGACGUCAAAUCAGCACGGCCCUUACGUCCGGGGCGACACACGUGUUACAAUGGUAGGUACAGAGGGCCGCUAUCCAGUGAUGGAGUGCCAAUCUCAAAAACCUAUCUCAGUUCGGAUCGGAGUCUGCAACUCGACUCCGUGAAGUUGGAUUCGCUAGUAAUCGCGCAUCAGCCAUGGCGCGGUGAAUACGUUCCCGGGCCUUGUACACACCGCCCGUCAAGCCAUGGAAGCCGGGGGUGCCUGAAGUUCGUGACCGCAAGGAGCGACCUAGGGCAAAACUGGUAACUGGGGCUAAGUCGUAACAAGGUAACC
Molecule: ribosomal RNA, 910 nt
Filed under: uncultured Bacteroidota bacterium
Lineage: Bacteria; Pseudomonadati; Bacteroidota
Description: bacterial SSU rRNA
Rfam family: Bacterial small subunit ribosomal RNA
Source: RNAcentral